CCGGAGCGCCUGGGGUUGGCCAUUCUAUACAACCCCCCCAAGUUCUUCGAACCCUUCUGGAAGGUGCGCGCGUCUUCUGACUCCUGUUUCUUAAUCGUCUAAAAUGCUUAAUUAUCUGGAAAAAAUCUGAUUCUUUUACCUGAUUUGGGCCAAAAAAAAAAAUUCAACCACCAAGAUUGCCUGCCCCGAGAUUAUUCCAUGAAAAUAGCUCCAUCGUCCCAUGUAUUCCCCCCCCCCUCUGAGGCAUAUUUGGAAGCUGCUAANNNNNNNNNNNNNNNNNNNNCUGCUAAUUAUCUAGAAAAAAUCUGAUUCUUUUACCUGAUUUGGGCCAAAAAAAAAAAAAAAUUUACAACCACCAAGAUUGCCUGCCCCGAGAUUAUUCCAGAAAAACUAGCUCCAUCGUCCCAUUUAUUGCUACUCCCCGGAUGCACAUUUCAUGGGCUCCAACUAUUUCCGGAAAAGGCCUGCAUUUCUCGAC
This 478-nucleotide long non-coding RNA is filed under the name Spirodela polyrhiza (greater duckweed). RNAcentral's name for it is "long non-coding RNA (SPOL_LNC002051)". Lineage: Eukaryota; Viridiplantae; Streptophyta; Magnoliopsida; Alismatales; Araceae. The record is from RNAcentral.